This 206-nucleotide ribosomal RNA is filed under the name uncultured bacterium. RNAcentral's name for it is "partial 16S ribosomal RNA". It matches the Rfam family "Bacterial small subunit ribosomal RNA", at positions 568 to 774 of the family's 1533-position model. The record is from RNAcentral.
CGUGUAGGCGGCCUGCUAAGUCUGAUGUGAAAGCCCGAGGCUCACCCUCGGAAGUGCAUUGGAAACUGGCAGACUGGAGUCCCGGAGAGGAGGGUGGAAUUCCUGGUGUAGCGGUGAAAUGCGUAGAUAUCAGGAGGAACACCGGUGGCGAAGGCGGCCCUCUGGACGGUGACUGACGCCGAGACGCGAAAGCGUGGGAGCAAACA